Molecule: long non-coding RNA, 357 nt
Organism: Dicentrarchus labrax (European seabass)
Lineage: Eukaryota; Metazoa; Chordata; Actinopteri; Moronidae
Exons: 3
Source: RefSeq, a predicted model, not a curated record
AAAACAUUGGUUUAGAUCACCCACACCUAUUGCUGAAGCCCUGUUCAACUUCAUCCCCUUGGGAGCACUGGCAUGCUGAGCAGCAAAUGAGCCUAGAAUUGUGCAAACCAUCGCCUCUGACCUACUUCCACAAGUCUCAGAUUAGCCGGACACUGUCUCCACCUUGUGGCUACUCAGCAAAGGAGGGGAACCAUCACAACAGAGCAGAGGUAAAUACUAUUUAUUUAAUUAUCAGACCAUUAAAACAAUUAAAUACCAUAAGUCAUCAGAAUAGGAAGCUUGACAUUUUUGACAUUUACUGUGGACCGGAUCCUGGCCCGGGGACAUUUCAUCUGUUUUGAGAAUGUGAAUUCAAAA